RNAcentral lists this ribosomal RNA (512 nucleotides) under uncultured bacterium. Its description in RNAcentral is "bacterial SSU rRNA". It matches the Rfam family "Bacterial small subunit ribosomal RNA", at positions 9 to 516 of the family's 1533-position model. The record is from RNAcentral.
GAGUUUGAUCGUGGCUCAGAUUGAACGCUGGCGGCAGGCCUAACACAUGCAAGUCGAGCGGUAGAGAGAAGCUUGCUUCUCUUGAGAGCGGCGGACGGGUGAGUAAUGCCUAGGAAUCUGCCUGGUAGUGGGGGAUAACGCUCGGAAACGGACGCUAAUACCGCAUACGUCCUACGGGAGAAAGCAGGGGACCUUCGGGCCUUGUGCUAUCAGAUGAGCCUAGGUCGGAUUAGCUAGUUGGUGAGGUAAUGGCUCACCAAGGCGACGAUCCGUAACUGGUCUGAGAGGAUGAUCAGUCACACUGGAACUGAGACACGGUCCAGACUCCUACGGGAGGCAGCAGUGGGGAAUAUUGGACAAUGGGCGAAAGCCUGAUCCAGCCAUGCCGCGUGUGUGAAGAAGGUCUUCGGAUUGUAAAGCACUUUAAGUUGGGAGGAAGGGCAGUAAAUUAAUACUUUGCUGUUUUGACGUUACCGACAGAAUAAGCACCGGCUAACUCUGUGCCAGCCGCC